This 1491-nucleotide ribosomal RNA is filed under the name uncultured bacterium. Its description in RNAcentral is "bacterial SSU rRNA". It matches the Rfam family "Bacterial small subunit ribosomal RNA". The record is from RNAcentral.
AGAGUUUGAUCAUGGCUCAGAACGAACGCUGGCGGCAUGCCUAACACAUGCAAGUCGAACGAAGGCUUCGGCCUUAGUGGCGCACGGGUGAGUAACACGUGAAUCACAUGCCCUUCAGUGGGGAAUAACCGGUCGAAAGGCUGACUAAUACCCCAUGGUCUCGCAAGAGUAAAGGUGGCCAGCAAUGGCUGCCGCUGGAGGAUUGGUUCGCGUCCCAUCAGCUUGUUGGCGGGGUAACGGCCCACCAAGGCUACGACGGGUACCUGGUCUGAGAGGACGAUCAGGCACACUGGAACUGAGACACGGUCCAGACACCUACGGGUGGCAGCAGUCGAGAAUAAUUCACAAUGGGGGCAACCCUGAUGGUGCAACGCCGCGUGGAGGAUGACGGUCUUCGGAUUGUAAACUCCUGUCAUCGGGGAGUAAGACCUGGCCGUUAAUAGCGGACAGGGUUGAUAGUACCCGAAGAGGAAGGGACGGCUAACUUCGUGCCAGCAGCCGCGGUAAUACGAAGGUCCCCGAGCGUUGUUCGGAAUCACUGGGCGUAAAGGGAGCGUAGGCGGCUCGGUAAGUUAAGAUGUGAAAAUCCCGGGGCUUCAACCCCGGAACUGCAUCCGAUACUGCCGUGCUAGAGGAUUGGAGAGGCAGCUGGAAUUCUUGGUGUAGCAGUGAAAUGCGUGGAGAUCAAGAGGAACACUCGUGGCGAAAGCGAGCUGCUGGACAAUAUCUGACGCUGAGGCUCGAACGCCAGGGUAGCGAAAGGGAUUAGAUACCCCUGUAGUCCUGGCAGUAAACGGUGUGCGCUUGGUGUGAGGGGAAUCGACCCCCCUCGUGCCGGAGCCAACGCGUUAAGCGCACCGCCUUGGAAGUACGGUCGCAAGGACUAAAACUCAAAGGAAUUGACGGGGAACCGCACAAACGGUGGAGUAUGUGGCUUAAUUCGAUGCAACGCGAAGAACCUUACCAAGGCUUGACAUGCAUCUCUAAGCGCGUGAAAGCGCGUGACCAUUUAUGGGAUUUGCACAGGUGCUGCAUGGCCGUCGUCAGCUCGUGUCGUGAGAUGUUGGGUUAAGUCCCGCAACGAGCGCAACCCUUGUGAACAGUUGCCAGCGGGUAAUGCCGGGAACUCUGUUCAGACUGCCCAGAUCAACUGGGUGGAAGGUGGGGACGACGUCAGGUCAGUAUGGCCCUUACGCCUUGGGCCGCACACGUACUACAAUGCCCAGCACAAUGAGAACCGAUGCCGCGAGGUGGAGGAAAUCUGUAAAACUGGGCCCAGUUCGGAUUGGAGGCUGCAACUCGCCUCCAUGAAGUCGGAAUCGCUAGUAAUGCCGUAUCAUCUACGACGGCGUGAAUACGUUCCCGGGUCUUGUACACACCGCCCGUCACAUCAUGGAAGCCGGUCGCACCCGAAGCGCAUGCGCCAACUUAGCAAUAAGAGGCAGUGUUCUAAGGUAAGGCUGGUAACUGGGAUGAAGUCGUAACAAGGUA